CGGCACGGGUGAGUAACACGUAUCCAACCUGCCGUCUACUCUUGGACAGCCUUCUGAAAGGAAGAUUAAUACAAGAUGGCAUCAUGAGUCCGCAUGUUCACAUGAUUAAAGGUGUUCCGGUAGGCGAUGGGGAUGCGUUCCAUUAGAUAGUAGGCGGGGUAACGGCCCACCUAGUCUUCGAUGGAUAGGGGUUCUGAGAGGAAGGUCCCCCACAUUGGAACUGAGACACGGUCCAA
RNAcentral lists this ribosomal RNA (236 nucleotides) under uncultured bacterium. RNAcentral describes it as "partial 16S ribosomal RNA". It matches the Rfam family "Bacterial small subunit ribosomal RNA", at positions 100 to 334 of the family's 1533-position model. The record is from RNAcentral.